Molecule: ribosomal RNA, 849 nt
Filed under: uncultured bacterium
Lineage: Bacteria
Description: bacterial SSU rRNA
Rfam family: Bacterial small subunit ribosomal RNA
Source: RNAcentral
AUUAUGGCUCAGGAUGAACGCUGGCGGUAUGCUUAACACAUGCAAGUCGAACGGGAAUCUUAGGAUUCUAGUGGCGGACGGGUGAGUAACGCGUGAGAAUUUGGCUUCAGGUCGGGGACAACAGUUGGAAACGACUGCUAAUACCGGAUAUGCCGAAAGGUGAAAGAUUUAUUGCCUGAAGAUAAGCUCGCGUCUGAUUAGCUAGUUGGUGGGGUAAGAGCCUACCAAGGCGACGAUCAGUAGCUGGUCCGAGAGGAUGAUCAGCCACACUGGGACUGAGACACGGCCCAGACUCCUACGGGAGGCAGCAGUGGGGAAUUUUCCGCAAUGGGCGAAAGCCUGACGGAGCAAUACCGCGUGAGGGAGGAAGGCUCUUGGGUCGUAAACCUCUUUUCUCAGGGAAGAAAAAAAUGACGGUACCUGAGGAAUAAGCAUCGGCUAACUCCGUGCCAGCAGCCGCGGUAAUACGGAGGAUGCAAGCGUUAUCCGGAAUGAUUGGGCGUAAAGGGUCUGUAGGUGGUGCUGUAAGUCUGCUGUUAAAGAGUCACGCUCAACGUGAUAAAAGCGGUGGAAACUACAGGACUAGAGUGCGGUCGGGGCAGAAGGAAUUCCUGGUGUAGCGGUGAAAUGCGUAGAUAUCAGGAAGAACACCGGUGGCGAAAGCGUUCUGCUAGUCCGCAACUGACACUGAGGGACGAAAGCUAGGGGAGCGAAUGGGAUUAGAUACCCCAGUAGUCCUAGCCGUAAACGAUGGAUACUAGGCGUGGCUUGUAUCGACCCGAGCCGUGCCGGAGCUAACGCGUUAAGUAUCCCGCCUGGGGAGUACGCACGCAAGUGUGAAACUCAAAG